CACCCCUAGUUUCAGCACCUAUGCCGGAGAGGCAGGCUGAGCAGUAACUCCUCUUGCUGACUGCACAGGGCCAUGCAACAGUUGGAGGCUUGUACUACACUCUGCUAAGGAGGUUCAGGGCAAGCAGCCUGCUGUCCCUAGCGAUGGGGAGACACGAACCAGAUCGGGAUCUGUUUGUCGUGCUGGAGCCUAGUAGGAGCCAUGCUCUCAGGUGAAGUCUCUGUAGGUUUUGAAGGUAAAUCUAUCCGGCAUCUUGCAAGAGAAGAUUCAGCAAGAGUGGAAGAGUACACGGUGCACAUACAGUCAUCCUCAACAGAAACAUAAGAUAGUCUGAGAUAUGGCAAAUCAGAGCUUGACCUGGGAGGAUGCCUAUUUGUAUGGAUCAGAUAGAGAAUCUCUUCCAUUUAAUAAGAUCCAUCUAGGAAGUUCCCUACUGCUGGAAAAUGGACCUAGACACAUCCAGUCAAAGAGAUCUCUCCCGGUGACCUGUGAAUGAACUCCCUCACAAAUAUUCAUAAGUUCUGUCCACCAGUCCCGGAAGGACAAAACCUGAGCUGGUACUUGAACCAUCUUGUCCACGUGAUGAUGGGCCAGUAGUACACCGAGGCUAUCCAAUGCUCUAGAUCUCUGAGGGGUAGAAAGACAUGCUGCACCACAUAAAUCAGUGGUUCCCAAACUGUGAUGUGCACCCACCCCCGGGCAGGGCUGGAGCAGCCCCCACAGGGGUGGGGAGGGUAGUACCACACUUCCAGCCCUGCUCUGCCCCCAGACCAGCUCUGCUUCUAGGCCCAGCUCUGCCCUCAUUCCCUCCGGACCCACAGACCAGCUCCGACCCAAGCCACAGCUCCAUUCCUCCCACCGGGCUCUCCUCUCAUUCCCUCUCUGCCCCCAGACCAGUUCCACGCCCCAGCUGCAGCUCCACUCUGCUCCCUUCUCUGCCCCCAUUCCCUCCCCACCCCCAGACCCGCUCUGACCCCUGCUGGGCUCUGCCCUCAUUCUCUCUCUGCCCCCAGACCAGCUCUGAACCCAGCUGCAGCUCUAUUCCAGUCCCUGCUUCACCCCCAGGCUGGCUCCGCCCCCAGCUGCAGCUCCACUCCACCCUCUGCUCUGCCUGUAGCCCAGCUCUGCCUUCAUUUCCUGUCUGCCCCAGACCAGCUCCGGCUCUAGCCACAGCUCCUCCCACAUCCCCAAUUCUGCCCCAGCUCUACCUUCUGGGAUAUUGUUUUCUUUUGGGGAAAGACAGGGAGUGUUUAAAAAUCAGUCAUAACAAGAAACUAGCUUCAACCUUUACUGUGGAGUCCCUAUUGCCACAUCAAAAGAUGAGUCAAGAAAGCAGUUCUGCUGAGUAAGGAGUAAUUAUGUUUUUUACAUAGUCACUUUUCUGGCCAUACAUUUAAAAAGAAAGUAUUAAAGUGCAUAGGAAAUAGCCACAAUCUUGUCUAAGGGCAGGUGCCCAUUGGAAUAGCCACAUUUAAAAUGUUACAGUAGUAUAAGUAGAUCAGCUAAUCCAUAUUCAGACAAUCUUCUCCCCAAAAGGCUUCAUGAAGAACUAUGCACAUGCCAAAUUAAGAUAGCCUUUUUUACAACAGAAAAAUAUAAAAAGGUGCAAGUUUAUUUACUGCUUUGUUCAAGCAAAAACUGGCUUUGCCAAUUUAAAUUAAGUUUGACAGAAACAACUGCAAAAGUACAAUAUAACAAUAAAAAGAAAAAUCACAUGAACAGCAACUCCAGAAAACCUUCACUGCUGCUAUUUAUUCUCUGUUCUGUUUAUUUUGCCAUUUUCUCUGGAUCUGAUUGUCCUGCACCUGGGAGCAGAAGAGCUGAGAGAAAGGUAAACUUGAGAAGCACAUUGCUCAGCAGCCAAGUUGUGGGGCAACUCUGACAACGAAGAAGAUUGUUGCUUUCUUUGUGUUCUAUCUAUAAUUGCAGGGGGAUAUAUUUCAUCUGUUGUGAACAUAUUUGUUCUUCCUCACACCUCAAAAGAAAAAACACUGGGCGUGUCGGUUGCUAACCAUUCCCAUAUGAGAAGGCAGAGGUAGGAAACCUCAGACUAAUUUCAGGACCAAUCUGAUCUUACUGAAAUCAGUGGCAAAAUUGUUUCAUGGAGUUCAGUGGGAGUUAAGAUCAGACCUCAAACCACAGAGAGCCAAGGUGGAAGCAAAUUACCAUAUGGUAGAAAGGAAGACCAGCUAGCAAUGGAGGUCUUUAGAUUGGAACAUUAUAUAUCAUAACUUUAUUUUCAAUUUUUCUAUUUGACUAUUUAUAAAUAAGUGUAUACAUUCACAGACUUCUACUUUUUUACCUUCUGAAAGACACAACUGUAUUAAAAAAGCCUUACUGACAUUGACUUAAUGUGUCAGCUAAGGAUACAUGUUUUUAAACCCAAUCCAACCCAAAUUACAUGUGCCAAGACAUAAGAAAAAAAAAUAUUUUCCUCAACUCAUCCAGAUAGUAAUUUUUUCUCCUUUUGAAAAAUGUCCCAAACUCAAAACCCUUCUUGAACUUUCUGGUGCAGGAAUCCUUUUCCACAUGUUCAGGCAAUCACACUUCUUGCCACCACCAGAGUUACUAAUUCAUUCACUUCCCUUUUAUACAAUGCCUCUGCUGGGGAUCAACUAGAAGUUGUAGAGGUUCAUAUAAAAGUAUUUGUUUAAUAUAUAAGAAUAUACUUUCCCCAAAUGCCCUACUUCUUGAGUAAUUAAAGUAGUUGUGAAUUAAAGAUUUCACUUCCUCAGAUCCUCCAGUAUGGAUCAAUGAGACAAUGUAUGUAAUUCCUUAAGCCCUUGGGGUGCUAGAUAUCAAGUAUAUAUUUUUGUUAAACAGCUUUAUUCAUAUUGAGAUAGCUUCCCUUUCCAUAUCAUGUUAUUAAUCCUCAUUUAAACCCUUAUUUAAAAGCCUUCCCCAUGCAUUCAUGAAUGCUUUCUUAAAAAAACAUCUUUUAAGGCUUGAAAAAUCUGAUUUCUGAACUAAACAUAUUUCUAUUUCUGUAGCCUUAAGAAGAGGCACCUUACCUGGAGUGGCCCUGUUUGCUGCUGCAGGCCUUGCUGCUAUGUAACACUCUAUAGUUUGUACUCAGAAGGAAGGGUGCAUUAAUAUUGGGCUGGACUAGUUGGUGAGAUGUAGACAUCCUAGUUCUGGUAUCAGAAUUCUGCUACCAAAGUAAUCUCUAGACUGUGGGCAUUUUAUCUGGUGAAAAGCUGAAGCUAAAAGAAGCUGGCUGAGCACAGGCAGAAUUUGAACUGUCUCUAGAACAGUGGUCUCCAACCUUUUUAAGCACAAGAUCACUUUUCGAAUUUAAGUGCAAUCCAGGAUCUACCCUUCCCCGAGGCCUAACCCCGCUCACUCCAU
Molecule: long non-coding RNA, 3348 nt
Organism: Chrysemys picta bellii (western painted turtle)
Lineage: Eukaryota; Metazoa; Chordata; Testudines; Emydidae
Source: RefSeq, a predicted model, not a curated record